RNAcentral lists this transfer RNA (95 nucleotides) under Paenibacillus radicis (ex Gao et al. 2016). RNAcentral describes it as "tRNA-Lys". Lineage: Bacteria; Bacillati; Bacillota; Bacilli; Caryophanales; Paenibacillaceae. The record is from RNAcentral.
UGGAUUUUGGUUUAGGCGGCUUAGGGCGAGGACGUUCUUCACGUUCCUCAUUUGUUGUUUGGUGGUAUACAACGGUUCGAGUCGCUUGAAUCCGC